GCGGCUGUGGUCCAGCGGCUAUGACAGGGGCUUCCCAUCGACCGAUCUUAUGGCGGGAAACAGCCUCUAACCCGGGUUCGAAUCCCGGCAGCCGCA
RNAcentral lists this transfer RNA (96 nucleotides) under Candidatus Methanoperedens nitratireducens. RNAcentral describes it as "Candidatus Methanoperedens nitroreducens tRNA-Gly". It matches the Rfam family "tRNA". Rfam says of the family: Transfer RNA (tRNA) molecules are approximately 80 nucleotides in length. Their secondary structure includes four short double-helical elements and three loops (D, anti-codon, and T loops). Lineage: Archaea; Methanobacteriati; Methanobacteriota; Methanomicrobia; Methanosarcinales; Candidatus Methanoperedentaceae. The record is from RNAcentral.